RNAcentral lists this long non-coding RNA (307 nucleotides) under Salvia miltiorrhiza (redroot sage). RNAcentral's name for it is "long non-coding RNA (SMIL_LNC002106)". Lineage: Eukaryota; Viridiplantae; Streptophyta; Magnoliopsida; Lamiales; Lamiaceae. The record is from RNAcentral.
UAGAAUUUGGAGUGUUUGAUAGGUGAGUUAAUUAGUAGCAUUGGCCCGUAGAAAAGGGGCGGCCCGCUACUAAUGUACUGUUCCUCCUAGAUCAGCCAUCUCACCCCACCCCCAAGUUAAGUUAUCCCAUUUUGUACAGUAACCCAUAUUAAUUUUUUGUUGACAGAUUUAUCCCCAUCAUCAACCCAACUUCAAAAAUGAAAAAUCAGGAAUUCUCUCGUGAAAAAUCAAGAUGUUCUUCGCAAAAAUCGUCGUGUUCUUCAAUCGCAGAAAAAUUCAAGAAUUGGAAUACGAACCCAGAAAUCGU